RNAcentral lists this ribosomal RNA (392 nucleotides) under uncultured bacterium. RNAcentral's name for it is "bacterial SSU rRNA". It matches the Rfam family "Bacterial small subunit ribosomal RNA", at positions 28 to 420 of the family's 1533-position model. The record is from RNAcentral.
GACGAACGCUGGCGGCGUGCUUAACACAUGCAAGUCGAGCGGUAAGGCCCUUUCGGGGGUACACGAGCGGCGAACGGGUGAGGUAACACGUGGGUGACCUGCCCUCAGCUCUGGGAUAAGCCUGGGAAACCGGGUCUAAUACUGGAUAUGACUCCAUGACGCAUGUUGUGGGGUGGAAAGCCUUGUGCGGCUGAGGAUGGGCCCGCGGCCUAUCAGCUUGUUGGUGGGGUGANGGCCUACCAAGGCGACGACGGGUAGCCGGCCUGAGAGGGCGACCGGCCACACUGGGACUGAGACACGGCCCAGACUCCUACGGGAGGCAGCAGUGGGGAAUCUUGCGCAAUGGGCGAAAGCCUGACGCAGCGACGCCGCGUGAGGGAUGACGGCCUCGG